This 1538-nucleotide ribosomal RNA is filed under the name Escherichia coli. RNAcentral describes it as "bacterial SSU rRNA". It matches the Rfam family "Bacterial small subunit ribosomal RNA". Lineage: Bacteria; Pseudomonadati; Pseudomonadota; Gammaproteobacteria; Enterobacterales; Enterobacteriaceae. The record is from RNAcentral.
UUGAAGAGUUUGAUCAUGGCUCAGAUUGAACGCUGGCGGCAGGCCUAACACAUGCAAGUCGAACGGUAACAGGAAGCAGCUUGCUGCUUCGCUGACGAGUGGCGGACGGGUGAGUAAUGUCUGGGAAACUGCCUGAUGGAGGGGGAUAACUACUGGAAACGGUAGCUAAUACCGCAUAACGUCGCAAGACCAAAGAGGGGGACCUUCGGGCCUCUUGCCAUCGGAUGUGCCCAGAUGGGAUUAGCUUGUUGGUGGGGUAACGGCUCACCAAGGCGACGAUCCCUAGCUGGUCUGAGAGGAUGACCAGCCACACUGGAACUGAGACACGGUCCAGACUCCUACGGGAGGCAGCAGUGGGGAAUAUUGCACAAUGGGCGCAAGCCUGAUGCAGCCAUGCCGCGUGUAUGAAGAAGGCCUUCGGGUUGUAAAGUACUUUCAGCGGGGAGGAAGGGAGUAAAGUUAAUACCUUUACUCAUUGACGUUACCCGCAGAAGAAGCACCGGCUAACUCCGUGCCAGCAGCCGCGGUAAUACGGAGGGUGCAAGCGUUAAUCGGAAUUACUGGGCGUAAAGCGCACGCAGGCGGUUUGUUAAGUCAGAUGUGAAAUCCCCGGGCUCAACCUGGGAACUGCAUCUGAUACUGGCAAGCUUGAGUCUCGUAGAGGGGGGUAGAAUUCCAGGUGUAGCGGUGAAAUGCGUAGAGAUCUGGAGGAAUACCGGUGGCGAAGGCGGCCCCCUGGACGAAGACUGACGCUCAGGUGCGAAAGCGUGGGGAGCAAACAGGAUUAGAUACCCUGGUAGUCCACGCCGUAAACGAUGUCGACUUGGAGGUUGUGCCCUUGAGGCGUGGCUUCCGGAGCUAACGCGUUAAGUCGACCGCCUGGGGAGUACGGCCGCAAGGUUAAAACUCAAAUGAAUUGACGGGGGCCCGCACAAGCGGUGGAGCAUGUGGUUUAAUUCGAUGCAACGCGAAGAACCUUACCUGGUCUUGACAUCCACGGAAGUUUUCAGAGAUGAGAAUGUGCCUUCGGGAACCGUGAGACAGGUGCUGCAUGGCUGUCGUCAGCUCGUGUUGUGAAAUGUUGGGUUAAGUCCCGCAACGAGCGCAACCCUUAUCCUUUGUUGCCAGCGGUCCGGCCGGGAACUCAAAGGAGACUGCCAGUGAUAAACUGGAGGAAGGUGGGGAUGACGUCAAGUCAUCAUGGCCCUUACGACCAGGGCUACACACGUGCUACAAUGGCGCAUACAAAGAGAAGCGACCUCGCGAGAGCAAGCGGACCUCAUAAAGUGCGUCGUAGUCCGGAUUGGAGUCUGCAACUCGACUCCAUGAAGUCGGAAUCGCUAGUAAUCGUGGAUCAGAAUGCCACGGUGAAUACGUUCCCGGGCCUUGUACACACCGCCCGUCACACCAUGGGAGUGGGUUGCAAAAGAAGUAGGUAGCUUAACCUUCGGGAGGGCGCUUACCACUUUGUGAUUCAUGACUGGGGUGAAGUCGUAACAAGGUAACCGUAGGGGAACCUGCGGUUGGAUCACCUCCUU